This is a long non-coding RNA of Ornithodoros turicata, 623 nucleotides long. RefSeq lists it as uncharacterized. The transcript is spliced from 3 exons. The record is from RefSeq and is a predicted model, not a curated record. NCBI's taxonomy places the organism in Eukaryota, Metazoa, Arthropoda, Arachnida, Ixodida, Argasidae.
CCAGCGCAGAGAGGACUGCUAUCCUGACGGCGAGCAACAUGAGCAACGAGGGGGUCCUUCUGCAGGUUACGGCAAUGGUCCAGUGGAGGCAACGUCGAUGAUUUGCUGCUUCCCGCAGUUCUUUUCUUGCCGGGCAUGCCGCCCAAGAGGAAUUCCAGGUCCACCAGUGCCGUCGACUCACCUGUGCCAGCGACAGAGGACCUGCUACAGCAGAUGACUUCACUCCGUACUGUCUCAACAGCUCUGCUGUCCUCGGACACCCGCUGCGCCUGAGCUUAACGUUACCGACGCUUUCCAAACAUAGCGGCCCCAGGUCGGACUUCAUCGGCUUCGAAGCUUGCAAAACCGGCCACCCGAGUAAGACUGUCGUCCUGCAUAGAGUACUGCCCGCAGCUCCUGGCUGACUGUUCGUCCGGUGACAUCUUGUACCUGCCAGACGUUUGACAAGUCUCGCUUUUCUACUGCGAGGGAACCUGAAGUUGAGACGAUCAAAGCCCUAUACGAGCGCUUAUACGAGAUGCAUCGUGACUACUGUUGCUGGCAGCGAUCACGUUACUACGCAUGGGUACGUCCUCUGCAAGGGACUGUGGUAUAUGCAAAUAAAUAUGCUAUUGUUGGUUGAA